This 2959-nucleotide long non-coding RNA is filed under the name Homo sapiens (human). RNAcentral's name for it is "HSALNT0398974". Lineage: Eukaryota; Metazoa; Chordata; Mammalia; Primates; Hominidae. The record is from RNAcentral.
GCCAGCUGCUUCAUGGAUGGUGUCCAUUUGAUAAGGCUUUCAGGGUAGGCAGAAAUUCUUUUGUCACCAGGCAUCAUGAGGGUCAUCAGCUCCUGCUGUAGCCUUUUGGCUACAGGGCCCCAGGCAGUGCCCCUGCUGGGCUCAGCUCCUUUAUGGGCGGUGGCGACACUAACAGUGGCUGGGUCAAAGUUUUGUGAGGCUAUCUGGGUGGCACUGGCAGAGAGACAAGAACUCAGAAAAUGUGACUGCAUCUGUGAUCAUCAUGUUUAUUUUUUAUUUUUAUUUAUUUAUUUUGAGACGGAGUCUUGCUCUUGUCACCCAGGCUCCAUCUCAAAAAAAAAAAAAAAAGGAAAUAGUUUUAAGUUCUCCCAUCCAAGUAGUAACCAGGCCCGACCCUGCUUAGCUUCCGAGAUCAGACGAGAUCAGGCGCGUUCAGGGUGGUAUGGCCAUAGACGGAAAUAGUUUUAAGUUCUCAAUCAACUUCAACUGAAUGGUUAGUGGUCAGUUUUGUAAUCACAAUGACAUUCUUGCAAACAAAUACAAUGUGUGGCAUCUCUCUUUGAUAUACUGGAUAGUUAAAAAUUGUUUUAAAGUUUUGCCUAAUAUUUUGCGAUUUAUCUCAAUGUAAUCUGUAUAAGUAGUAAAAUUAUAGAUGACUCCUUUCCUUUUUUUUUUUUUUAAGACAAGGAUCUAGCUCUGUUGCCUAGGCUGGAGGGCAAUGGCAUGAUCACAGCUUACUGCAACCUCUGCUCCUGCAUUCAAGCGAUUCUCAUGCCUCAGCCUCCCGAACAUCUGGGAUUACAGGUGCAUGAUACCACAUCCGGCUAAUUUUUGGAUUUUUAGUAGAGACUGUUUCACGGUAUUGGCCUGACUGGUCUCGAACUCCUGUCCUCAAGUGACCCACCUGUCUUGGCCUCCCAAAGUGGGAUUACAGGCAUGAACCACUGCACCCAGCCUAAAUGACUACCUUUUAUGUUGCACAUUUUAAGUAACUUUUGUCAUUUCCAUCUUGGGUUGUUGCUUUUUUGUUUUUUGAGACAGAAUCUCGCUCUGUCGCCCAGGCUGGAGUGCAGUGGCCUGAUCUUGGCUCACUGCAAACUCCGCCUCCUGGGUUCAUGCCAUUCUCCUGCCUCAGCCUCCUGAGUAGCUGGGACAACAGGUGCGUGCCACCACACCUGGCUAACUUUCGGUAUUUUUAGUAGAGAUGGGGUUUCACUGUGUUAGCCAGGAUGGUCUCGAUCUCCUGACCUUGUGAUCCGCCCACCUCAUCCUCUCAAAGUGCUGGGAUUACAGGUGUGAGUCACUGUGCCCGGCCGUGUUGUCACUUUUAAUGUGCUUUGGUUUUAAUUUUCUGUAGAAAAGUAAAACAAAUUUUUCCCUUUAAAUUUAAUCCUUGCUUUUAAUGACUUGUGCACCCCAAUUUACUAAGAAAAUAAACCAUUUAAAAAAUAAUCUUGAGUUGGGCAUAGUAGUUUAUUCCUGUAAUCCCAACACAUUGGGAGGCAGAGGCAGGCUGUUGACUUGAGCCGAGGAGAUUGAGACCAGCCUGGGCAACAUGGCAAAACCCUGUGUCCACAAAAAAUGCAAAAAUUAGCCAGGCAGGGUGCCUGUCUGUAGUCCCAGCUACCCAGCAGGCUGAGGUGGCACGAUCACUUGAACCCUGGGGGUGGUCAAGGCUGCAGUGAGCCAUGAUCAUGCUACUGCAUUCCAGCCUGGGCAGCAGAGCAAGAUUCUCUCCAAAAAUAACAUAAAAAGUAUGUGUGUGUGUGUGUAUAUGUACACACAUAUAUACGUAUAUAUGUGUGUACAUAUACACACACACACACAUAUAUGUAUAUAUAUAAAAAAUGCCUUUAUGUGUAGGCUUGAUUUAAUUUUCAAUUUUAUGUGAAGCAUAAAUUGAGCAGUUUUUCUAUCUCAAUUUUUAAUCUAUUUUAACAUUGUAUUACAUUAUCUAUUAUUUUCUCUCCAAAUUGAUAAGCAAUGUACACCCCUCAGACAUGGACUGUGAUUUCUUUUUUUUUUUUUUGAGACAGAGUCUUGCUCUGUUGCCCAUGCUGUAGUGCAGUGCCACGAUCUUAACUCACUGCAACCUCUGCCUGCCAGGUUCAAGCAAUUCUAUGCCUCAGCCUCCUGAGUAGCUGGGAUUACAGGUGCUAAUUUUUGCAUUUUUAGUAAAGACAUGGUUUAACCAUGUUGGUCAGGCUGGUCUGGAACUCCUGACCUCGUGAUCCACCCACCUCGGCCUCCUGAAGUGCUGGGAUUACAGGCAUGAGCCACCACACCCAGCCAGGAAAGUUCCUUAUAGAUUCUUUCUAGCUAUUGAAAAGAGAAUUAUAAUCAUCUAAAGAGGAUUAAUUCAACACUUAGGGAAAGUAGAGGUUAGCAAGAGGAAGUUACUUCUCUUAGAGUAUGUGAUUCAAAGGAAAAAAUGUGCCACAUCAAAUAUACAUGGACUGGCUAAACAUUUCUAGGUACAUGUAGAUUUAUAAGCCACUGUAAGAUUCAACACAAUGAGGAAAUUACUGGUGUAAUAAAAAUAAACAUUAGAUUGAUGAAACACAGUAAAAUAAUUUCAAACAGGAAAGAGGUAUGAAUCUUUUGUACAAAAAAAGUUUGACAUAUAUUUAAUUCACAUACAAGCAGGAAGAUUAACUUCAUAAGAGAAUUAACAAAAGUUGUAUUAAUUCAAGACAAGAGACUGCAGAGACUAAAAUUGCUUAGUACUGAAACUUUUGCUUAUAUAAACUGUAGUUUAUGGAGAAAAUAAAGAAUUUUUUUGUUUUUUUUGAGGCAGGAUCUCACUCUAUUCCCCAGGCUAGAGUGCGAUGGCACCAUCUCGGCUGAUUGCAACCUCCAUUUUCCAGGAAGGCUCUUUAAUUCCCCCUGAUUACAAAGGUUUUGUGUGAACAUAAUUUGGUGUAAUAAAAAAAAAUUUACACCACAAGAGACAAACAUA